This 83-nucleotide non-coding RNA is filed under the name uncultured Rothia sp. RNAcentral describes it as "TPP riboswitch (THI element)". It matches the Rfam family "TPP riboswitch aptamer (THI element)", at positions 9 to 90 of the family's 105-position model. Rfam says of the family: Vitamin B(1) in its active form thiamin pyrophosphate (TPP) is an essential coenzyme that is synthesised by coupling of pyrimidine and thiazole moieties in bacteria. The previously detected thiamin-regulatory element, thi box was extended, resulting in a new, highly conserved RNA secondary structure, the THI element, which is widely distributed in eubacteria and also occurs in some archaea. Lineage: Bacteria; Bacillati; Actinomycetota; Actinomycetes; Micrococcales; Micrococcaceae. The record is from RNAcentral.
ACAGGGGAGCGCCACCGCGGCGCUGAGAGUGCUAUGCAGACCCUCGAACCUGAUCCGGUUAGUACCGGUGUAGGGAGUCGGAU